UUAAUGAGUUGUCCUUGCGGGUUUGAUGCUGGUAGUGUCCAUCCUUUGGAUAUUGCAUGUGGCUCACCCUAGCAAAUCAUUUUUCCAAACACCUGUGCACCCUUGUUGAAGGGGAGUUGAUUGCCAGCAUACGGUGAUUAAUUUAUCCCUCCAAUUUUCUCUUAUACACUCUGUACAAUUGUGAACGUGCUUUUGUGCCGUGCAAGGCCUCUAUAUAUAUACAACUUUUAACAACGGAUCUCUUGGCUCUCGCAUCGAUGAAGGACGCAGCGAAAUGCGAUAAGUAAUGUGAAUUGCGGAAUUCAGUGAAUCAUCGAAUCUUUGAACGCACCUUGCGCUCCCUGGUAUUCUGGGGAGCACACCUGUUCGAGUGUUGUGGAAUUUCUCAAGUUAUUAAGGUGAUUGUCAGUCUCCUUAGUCUUGGUUGUUGGGCUUUGCCGUAUCCUUUGUUGGAGGGGAUGGCUGGCCUUAAAAGCAUUGGCUGACCCCUUGCAUGGUAGUGGUUUUUUUCUACUCAGUGUGGUAAUAUAUGAUUGCUGAGGAGACAUCUUUUUUGGGUGGCCAUUUAUCAAGUUGGGUUGCUUAUAGUUGAUGUGUUUUUCUUGUUUUGACCUCGAAUCAGGUGGGACUACCCGCUGAACUUAAGCAUAUCAAUAAGCGGAGGAAAAGAAACUAACAAGGAUUCCCCUAGUAACGGCGAGUGAAGCGGGAAGAGCUCAAAUUUAAAAUCUGGCAAUCUUUGGUUGUCUGAAUUGUAAUCUAGAGAAGUGUUUUCCGCGCUGGACUGUGUACAAGCUUCCUGGAUAUGGAACAUCAUAGAGGGUGAGAAUCCCGUCCUUGACACAGACUCCCAGUGCUUUUGUGAUGCGCUCUCGACGAGUCGAGUUGUUUGGGAUUGCAGCUCAAAAUGGGAGGUAAAUUCCUUCUAAAGCUAAAUAUUGGCGAGAGACCGAUAGUGAACAAGUACCGUGAGGGAAAGAUGAAAAGCACUUUGGAAAGAGAGUUAAACAGUACGUGAAAUUGUUAAAAGGGAAACGCUUGAAGUCAGUCAUGUUUGCUUGGACUCAAUCUUACCCUGCCUUGGGUUUGGUGCAUUUCCUUGCUGACGGGCCAGCGUUCAUGUUGUUUGCUGGAAAAUGGGUGAAGGAAUGUGGCUCCUUUGGGAGUGUUAUAGCCUUUAUUCACAUGCAGGGAAUAAUAUGGAGUGGUACA
Molecule: ribosomal RNA, 1212 nt
Filed under: uncultured fungus
Lineage: Eukaryota; Fungi
Description: eukaryotic LSU rRNA
Rfam family: Eukaryotic large subunit ribosomal RNA (bases 609-1212)
Source: RNAcentral